Oncorhynchus tshawytscha (Chinook salmon) is the source of this 308-nucleotide long non-coding RNA. The record is from Ensembl. Lineage: Eukaryota; Metazoa; Chordata; Actinopteri; Salmoniformes; Salmonidae.
GUGUGGAAUAGUGUCAGCAGGUAGUGGAAUAGUGUCAGCAGGUAGUGGAAUAGUGUCAGCAUGGUGUGGAAUAGUGUCAGCAUGGUGUUGAAUAGUGUCAGCAGGUAGUGGAAUAGUGUCAGCAGGUAGUGGCUUAGUGUCAGCAUGGUGUGGAAUAGCGUCAGCAGGUAGUGGAAUGGUGUCAGCAUGGUGUGGAAUGGUGUCAGCAUGGUGUGGAAUAGUGUCAGCAGGUAGUGGAAUAGUGUCAGCAUGGUGUGGAAUAGUGUCAGCAUGGUGUUGAAUAGUGUCAGCAGGUAGUGGAAUAGUGU